AUUGAGGAGUCCCAUAAUAGGACGAAACGGCCGUCCAAU
RNAcentral lists this non-coding RNA (39 nucleotides) under Schistosoma mansoni. The record is from RNAcentral. Lineage: Eukaryota; Metazoa; Platyhelminthes; Trematoda; Strigeidida; Schistosomatidae.